AGUGAACGCUGGCGGUAGGCCUAACACAUGCAAGUCGAACGGCAACACAGUAAGAGCUUGCUCUUACGGGUGGCGAGUGGCGGACGGGUGAGGAAUACAUCGGAAUCUACUUUUUCGCGGGGGAUAACGUAGGGAAACUUACGCUAAUACCGCAUACGACCUACGGGUGAAAGCAGGGGAUCUUCGGACCUUGCGCGAUUGAAUGAGCCGAUGUCGGAUUAGCUAGUUGGCGGGGUAAAGGCCCACCAAGGCGACGAUCCGUAGCUGGUCUGAGAGGAUGAUCAGCCACACUGGAACUGAGACACGGUCCAGACUCCUACGGGAGGCAGCAGUGGGGAAUAUUGGACAAUGGGCGCAAGCCUGAUCCAGCCAUACCGCGUGGGUGAAGAAGGCCUUCGGGUUGUAAAGCCCUUUUGUUGGGAAAGAAAAGCAGCAGGUUAAUACCCCGCUGUUCUGACGGUACCCAAAGAAUAAGCACCGGCUAACUUCGUG
Molecule: ribosomal RNA, 492 nt
Filed under: uncultured bacterium
Lineage: Bacteria
Description: partial 16S ribosomal RNA
Rfam family: Bacterial small subunit ribosomal RNA
Source: RNAcentral